UUUUGUAUAAUGGGUCAGCGACUUAUAUUCUGUAGCAAGGUUAACCGAAUAGGGGAGCCGAAGGGAAACCGAGUCUUAACUGGGCGUUAAGUUGCAGGGUAUAGACCCGAAACCCGGUGAUCUAGCCAUGGGCAGGUUGAAGGUUGGGUAACACUAACUGGAGGACCGAACCGACUAAUGUUGAAAAAUUAGCGGAUGACUUGUGGCUGGGGGUGAAAGGCCAAUCAAACCGGGAGAUAGCUGGUUCUCCCCGAAAGCUAUUUAGGUAGCGCCUCGUGAAUUCAUCUCCGGGGGUAGAGCACUGUUUCGGCAAGGGGGUCAUCCCGACUUACCAACCCGAUGCAAACUGCGAAUACCGGAGAAUGUUAUCACGGGAGACACACGGCGGGUGCUAACGUCCGUCGUGAAGAGGGAAACAACCCAGACCGCCAGCUAAGGUCCCAAAGUCAUGGUUAAGUGGGAAACGAUGUGGGAAGGCCCAGACAGCCAGGAUGUUGGCUUAGAAGCAGCCAUCAUUUAAAGAAAGCGUAAUAGCUCACUGGUCGAGUCGGCCUGCGCGGAAGAUGUAACGGGGCUAAACCAUGCACCGAAGCUGCGGCAGCGACGCUUAUGCGUUGUUGGGUAGGGGAGCGUUCUGUAAGCCUGUGAAGGUGUACUGUGAGGUAUGCUGGAGGUAUCAGAAGUGCGAAUGCUGACAUAAGUAACGAUAAAGCGGGUGAAAAGCCCGCUCGCCGGAAGACCAAGGGUUCCUGUCCAACGUUAAUCGGGGCAGGGUGAGUCGACCCCUAAGGCGAGGCCGAAAGGCGUAGUCGAUGGGAAACAGGUUAAUAUUCCUGUACUUGGUGUUACUGCGAAGGGGGGACGGAGAAGGCUAUGUUGGCCGGGCGACGGUUGUCCCGGUUUAAGCGUGUAGGCUGGUUUUCCAGGCAAAUCCGGAAAAUCAAGGCUGAGGCGUGAUGACGAGGCACUACGGUGCUGAAGC
RNAcentral lists this ribosomal RNA (982 nucleotides) under Escherichia coli. RNAcentral describes it as "partial 23S ribosomal RNA". It matches the Rfam family "Bacterial large subunit ribosomal RNA", at positions 606 to 1591 of the family's 2925-position model. The record is from RNAcentral. Lineage: Bacteria; Pseudomonadati; Pseudomonadota; Gammaproteobacteria; Enterobacterales; Enterobacteriaceae.